GAUGAAGAACGCAGCGAAACGCGAUAUGUAAUGUGAAUUGCAGAAUUCAGUGAAUCAUCGAAUCUUUGAACGCACAUGGCGCCUUCCAGUAUCCUGGGAGGCAUGCCUGUCCGAGCGUCGUUUCAACCCUCGAGCCCCCGUGGCCCGGCGUUGGGGAUCUGCCCAGGCAGUCCCCGAAAACCAGUGGCGGACCCGUUACAGGCCCUUCCCUUGCGUAGUAGCAUUCGCCUCGUAUCGGGAGCCGGCGGGCUUCCAGCCUCUAAACCCCCAUCAAGUCCGCCCCGGCGGCACCAAGGUUGACCUCGGAUCAGGUAGGAAUACCCGCUGAACUUAAGCAUAUCAAUAAGCGGAGGA
RNAcentral lists this unclassified non-coding RNA (354 nucleotides) under soil metagenome. RNAcentral describes it as "partial contains 5.8S ribosomal RNA, internal transcribed spacer 2, and large subunit ribosomal RNA". The stretch from base 1 to 120 matches the Rfam family "5.8S ribosomal RNA", at positions 35 to 154 of the family's 154-position model. The record is from RNAcentral.